This 736-nucleotide ribosomal RNA is filed under the name Hypostomus asperatus. RNAcentral's name for it is "eukaryotic LSU rRNA". It matches the Rfam family "Eukaryotic large subunit ribosomal RNA", at positions 61 to 673 of the family's 3401-position model. The record is from RNAcentral. Lineage: Eukaryota; Metazoa; Chordata; Actinopteri; Siluriformes; Loricariidae.
GAGACUAACCAGGAUUCCCCCAAGUAGCUGUGAGCAAAGAGGGAAGAGCCCAGCGCUGAAUUGCCCAUCCCCUUGCGGGCACAGGGAGUGUGUCGUACAGAAGUCUGUAAUCCCGGCGUGGCCCUGGAGGCCUAAGUCCUUCUGGUAGAGGCUCAGUCCGUGGAUGGUGUGAGGCCAAUAACAGCCCAUGGCCUCCCAGGGCACGGUCUUCUCAGAGUUGGGUUGUUUGGGAAUGCAGCCUAAAGCAGGUGGUAAAGUCCAUCUAAGGCUAAAUAGCGGCAUGGGACCAAUAGCGAGUACUGUAAGGGAAAAUUGAAUAGAACUUUGAAGAGAGAGUUCAACAGGGUGUGAAGCCAUUAAGAGGUAAACGGGUGAGGUCUGCCCGGGGGACUUAACCCAGCGGUGGGUCCUCCAUUUCCUCUGUGGCAGUGAACUGCGACCAACUCCGGUUCGGCUUGGAAGGGUCAGGGGGUGAAGGUGGCUCGCAACUGCAUGGCCUUGAGCUGUACAUUGCCCUUUCUCGUUGUAGAGCUCCCCCUCUGUCCGCGCCUUCCCCCCUCCUGUGGGGAUGGGGCCUCUCGACGUGGCUGUCGACCAGGCCGGACUGUCCUCUGUUCUUCGCCCAACCGGACCGGGCCACCAAGGGCGGGGACAGACCCACAUUCCAAAAGGGCGCUCGGGGUCCGCAUCGAUGACAGCCACCCCCGCCCCCCGUCUUGAAACACGGACCAAGGAG